GUGCUGGUAGUGCAACGGUAGCGUAUCAUGCCUCGGAUAGCGUGAAAUGUGGGUUGGAGUCCCAGCUGACGCA
This is a non-coding RNA of Parelaphostrongylus tenuis, 73 nucleotides long. NCBI's taxonomy places the organism in Eukaryota, Metazoa, Nematoda, Chromadorea, Rhabditida, Metastrongylidae. The record is from the annotation of a GenBank genome assembly.